UGGGGAAUAUUGGACAAUGGGCGAAAGCCUGAUCCAGCCAUGCCGCGUGUGUGAAGGAGGUCUUCGGAUUGUAAAGCACUUUAAGUUGGGAGGAAGGGCAUUAACCUAAUACGUUAGUGUUUUGACGUUACCGACAGAAUAAGCACCGGCUAACUCUGUGCCAGCAGCCGCGGUAAUACAGAGGGUGCAAGCGUUAAUCGGAAUUACUGGGCGUAAAGCGCGCGUAGGUGGUUUGUUAAGUUGGAUGUGAAAUCCCCGGGCUCAACCUGGGAACUGCAUUCAAAACUGACUGACUAGAGUAUGGUAGAGGGUGGUGGAAUUUCCUGUGUAGCGGUGAAAUGCGUAGAUAUAGGAAGGAACACCAGUGGCGAAGGCGACCACCUGGACUAAUACUGACACUGAGGUGCGAAAGCGUGGGGAGCAAACA
This 427-nucleotide ribosomal RNA is filed under the name uncultured bacterium. Its description in RNAcentral is "partial 16S ribosomal RNA". It matches the Rfam family "Bacterial small subunit ribosomal RNA", at positions 355 to 774 of the family's 1533-position model. The record is from RNAcentral.